RNAcentral lists this ribosomal RNA (163 nucleotides) under Ficus tikoua. RNAcentral describes it as "5.8S ribosomal RNA". It matches the Rfam family "5.8S ribosomal RNA". From Rfam's summary of the family: 5.8S ribosomal RNA (5.8S rRNA) is a component of the large subunit of the eukaryotic ribosome. It is transcribed by RNA polymerase I as part of the 45S precursor that also contains 18S and 28S rRNA. Lineage: Eukaryota; Viridiplantae; Streptophyta; Magnoliopsida; Rosales; Moraceae. The record is from RNAcentral.
AACGACUCUCGACAACGGAUAUCUCGGCUCUCGCAUCGAUGAAGAACGUAGCGAAAUGCGAUACUUGGUGUGAAUUGCAGAAUCCCGUGAACCAUCGAGUCUUUGAACGCAAGUUGCGCCCGAAGCCAUCAGGUUGAGGGCACGUCUGCCUGGGCGUCACACG